Molecule: transfer RNA, 72 nt
Filed under: Muntiacus reevesi (Reeves' muntjac)
Lineage: Eukaryota; Metazoa; Chordata; Mammalia; Artiodactyla; Cervidae
Also listed under: 6 other names
Rfam family: tRNA
About the family: Transfer RNA (tRNA) molecules are approximately 80 nucleotides in length. Their secondary structure includes four short double-helical elements and three loops (D, anti-codon, and T loops). Further hydrogen bonds mediate the characteristic L-shaped molecular structure. tRNAs have two regions of fundamental functional importance: the anti-codon, which is responsible for specific mRNA codon recognition, and the 3' end, to which the tRNAs corresponding amino acid is attached (by aminoacyl-tRNA synthetases). tRNAs cope with the degeneracy of the genetic code in two manners: having more than one tRNA (with a specific anti-codon) for a particular amino acid; and 'wobble' base-pairing, i.e. permitting non-standard base-pairing at the 3rd anti-codon position.
Source: Rfam by way of RNAcentral
UCCCUGGUGGCUCAGAUGGUAAAGCAUCUGCCUGCAAUGCAGGAGACCUGGGUUUGAUCCCUGGGUCGGGAA